RNAcentral lists this ribosomal RNA (1356 nucleotides) under Triticum aestivum (bread wheat). RNAcentral's name for it is "partial small subunit ribosomal RNA". The record is from RNAcentral. Lineage: Eukaryota; Viridiplantae; Streptophyta; Magnoliopsida; Poales; Poaceae.
AUGCACCGCGGAUUGGAGGAGCUCCACGGGGAGGGCCAUCUUCGCUGCCUCACCUCCGUCGUGUCUGACCACAGCCCUUUGCUACUCGAUUGCUCCUUGAUGCCACCAACCCAUCGGCGAUUCCACUUCGAGGAAUUCUGGAUCCGGUUGGAUGGCUUCCAGGACGUCGUCGCAGCAGGCUGGCACUCCAUCCACGACCCCGACCCCUUCAGGCAGCUCAUGCUUCGCAUGAAGGCCACGGCGCGCAAGCUUACGAGCUGGAGCUCGAGGACGAUUGGCAAUGUAUGGCUCAAACUUCCAAUCUCUAGAGAACUCCUCCGGCUAGAUACCGCGCAGGACCACCGUGCCCUGUCCCCGCACGAGGUUUGGCUGCGCCGACAAAUCAAGGUGUCAUACCUCGGCCUCGCCUCCCUCGAGCGCACCAUUGCCCGACAACGUUCCCGCCUCGCAACCCUCAAGGACGGCGAUGCCAACACAUCGUUCUUUCAUCGGCAGUGCACGUACCGGCGCCAAAAGAAUAGGAUUCAUAGUACCCUCGUCGGCGAGGACGUAAUCACCGAACCCUCGGAGAUAGCCGCGGCGGCCUACGCUCACUUCGACGCGCUCCUGGGCUCGAAGGCGCCCCGAGACUGCGCCCUCGACCUCUCGGACCUCAUCACCCCUGCCAACUUGGAGGACCUGGACGCCCCGUUCGACGCCGACGAGAUCUGGCAGGCGGUCAAACGGCUCCCCGCGCGCGAAGCCCCUGGACCCGACGGCUUCAUGGCUGAAUUCUUACGCGCGUGCUGGCCCAUUGUUCGGCAGGACUUUGUCGACGUCUUCAACCAGCUCUACGCAAUGCGAGGCCGCGGCUUUAGCUGCCUUAAUCAGGCGCUGCUCACCCUGCUACCCAAGCGCGCAGACACCCACGCCCUCGGCGACUUCAGGCCCAUUAGCCUCAUCCACUUGGUCGCCAAGAUUUUGGCCAAAGUCCUGUCGCUGCGCCUCGUGCCCAAGCUCAACUCACUCGUCAGCACGAGCCAGAAUGCCUUCAUCCCCGGACGCAGCCUGCAUGACAAUUUCAUCCUCGUCCCCCAGUCAGCCCGUCUGCUGCACCAGCUCGGCGCCCCACGCGUACUCCUGAAACUGUACCUGGCACACGCCUUCGACUCGGUCAGGUGGCCAUUCCUGUUCAUGCCCUUCGCCGAUACGGUUUUGGCACCAGGUUCCUCGAUUGUCUUGCCAUCUUAUUCUCUUCGGCAAGCACCAGGGUGCUCUUUAACGGAGAGCCAGGCCCAGCAAUCUGGCACAGAUGUGGGUUCCGCCAGGGCGACCCCCUAUCUCCCCAGCUCUUCGUGCUCGCCAUCGACACGCUAG